RNAcentral lists this ribosomal RNA (253 nucleotides) under uncultured bacterium. RNAcentral's name for it is "partial 16S ribosomal RNA". It matches the Rfam family "Bacterial small subunit ribosomal RNA", at positions 524 to 776 of the family's 1533-position model. The record is from RNAcentral.
UACAGAGGGUGCAAGCGUUGUCCGGAAUUACUGGGCGUAAAGCGCGCGUAGGCGGACCUGCAAGUCGGGGGUGAAAGCCCGAGGCUCAACCUCGGAACUGCCUUCGAUACUGCGGGUCUCGAGUCCGGGAGAGGUGAGUGGAAUUCCUAGUGUAGAGGUGAAAUUCGUAGAUAUUCGCAAGAACACCAGUGGCGAAGGCGGCUUACUGGUCCGGUUCUGACGCUGAGGCGCGAAAGCGUGGGGAGCAAACAGG